Molecule: ribosomal RNA, 464 nt
Filed under: uncultured bacterium
Lineage: Bacteria
Description: partial 16S ribosomal RNA
Rfam family: Bacterial small subunit ribosomal RNA
Source: RNAcentral
GACGAACGCUGGCGGCGUGCUUAACACAUGCAAGUCGAACGGAAAGGCCCCUUUGGGGGUACUCGAGUGGCGAACGGGUGAGUAACACGUGAGUAACCUGCCCUUGACUUCGGGAUAACUUCAGGAAACUGGGGCUAAUACCGGAUAGGAAUCCUUGCUGCAUGGUGGGGGUUGGAAAGCUUCGGCGGUUUUGGAUGGACUCGCGGCUUAUCAGCUUGUUGGUGGGGUAGUGGCUUACCAAGGCUUUGACGGGUAGCCGGCCUGAGAGGGCGACCGGCCACAUUGGGACUGAGAUACGGCCCAGACUCCUACGGGAGGCAGCAGUGGGGAAUAUUGCACAAUGGGCGGAAGCCUGAUGCAGCAACGCCGCGUGCGGGGUGACGGCCUUCGGGUUGUAAACCGCUUUCAGCAGGGGCGAAGCUUUUGUGACGGUACCUGCAGAAGAAGCACCGGCUAACUACGUG